AUGGCCAAUUCUACACCGAAGGGUCAACAACUGUGCAUCCACAGACGUUGCCCAUCCACGAGCACACAGUGUAAUACUGAGGCAAGACUUCCCACACACCAGAACGUCUUCCGGUACUGGCACCUUGGCACAAUAUUACUGCUUAUGACUGCCUAAAAACAAUCAGUUAUCACACUGUGGAGAUUUCUAACAACACUAAAUAAUAGUUCCCAUUAAAAAAAAAUAUUAAUAGCUAGUGACUUAAUUGUGUAUUAUUAUUUAUAGUUACACUAAAUGUGAUGGAAACCCUUGGUAUCUAUUCAUUACUCAAUUUACUGUUGAAAUCUAUAUAUAAUACUUUUUGCAUUUGAUUAUUGUAUUAGUUAACUUUUCUUGAAGUUGAUUGAAGUUUAAUUCUGCCUACAUAAAAUUAUAUUAAAUCUGUGGUGGUUGAUAAUGUUGAAAUAGCAUUUUGAAGGAAUAGCUAGGUAGCCCAAUGGACAGAAUACUAAGCUUGGAGUUGGGUUCAAAUUUGGCCUCAGACACUUCCAGCUAUAUAAUCCUGGGCAAGCCAAUUAGUCCCAAUUGUGCCUAACCCUUAUUGAUCUUCUUAGAAUCAAUACUUAAUUGUUGAUUCUAAGAUACAAGGUAAUGGUUAAAAAAUGGUAUUGUAAUUCCAAUCAGGAUGAAAUUCCCAUCAAAUUAACAUCUAACUAGCAACUGCUUUAAAUUAUUCAGGAUUAGCAUUUAUAGUACAGAUUUAUGAAGAUAGAGGAUAUAAUGAAUUAUUCUCAUGUGAGGCUUGUAUUCUUUAAAACAAGUAAACUUCUGAUAAUUUUGUUUUAUUCUCUAAUUUUUUCACAUAUGUAAACUGUGCUUACCUAAUUAGAUUAGAGUUCCUCUAAGACAAGAACUUCUUUGUAACAUAGAUUUGAGUUGAGAAUGAAGAAUCCAAAGAAUACUUAAAAUCAUAGAUAAUUAGAGCUAAAAGGCAGCACAUCUAGUUCAACCCUAAACUUUUACAGUUGAGGAUAUAAAAUGACUUAUCUGAGGUCAGGAUACUUCCUGAAUUGAAUAGAGAAUGUUUUUCAAUUGAUCAUGGGCACUUACCCUUGGGGGUUGGCUAUAAUUUAUACAAGAGAUCUGUGGAGUAAGGAAAUAUUCAGGAAGUUGGUUAUCUAGGACUAGUGAUUACUAAAUAGAAAGGGAAAUUUGAAAGCAAAGGAAUUCACAUGGUAUAAUGGGGAAGGGGUGAGAAACCUAGAAAAAUGAAGGUCUCAGAGGUAGAUAGAGAAAAAGGUCACUACUCUGGUUGCUAGCACCUUAAGGAUUCCUUUCACCUACUUCCUGAUGUGGUGCCACAAAAGGGCAAGGAACUCUCCCCCCCCCCCACUCUGGUGACUAAGAGUAAUGAAAUCAAUGGAAGGUUCACUAAUGUAGAAAGAAGUGGGCAUCAAUGAUGAGUAUAAGAGUAUAUUAUCCAAGUUUUAUCAUAACCUGGUAGGAAUUUAAUUGCUGUGGGGCUAAGAAGAAGGACAAAUAGAUGUACAUCCAAGAUGAUAAACCAGAAGCUUGUCGCUAGUCUCUUUCACGAUUAUCCUCUACAUAAGGGAUAUGCAUGGAGCAUGAACAGUCCAUAAAAUCAAAUGCUCAUAUGAAAAUUAUGUUCAUGAACUUAAAUUCAUUCAUCACAUGAUAAUCUAUUGUCAUUUCACAUCUCCCUCUACUUUGCAUUCUCUAAUCCUGUUCUUCAUCCUCACAGUGACCUGAAAUCCCUUCUCCUUUCAUUAUAAUUUCCAAUCAAUUCUCCUCUCAGUUCUUUCCAAGGUCAUUAUCACCCCUGCAUUGGCUACAUUCUUUUCUCUUCCCAUCUUGGGCCCCUUAGUAAGCCAAUUCAAUUCUAUUCUGUCCUCUUCUCUGAAGUCCCUUGCCCCUUUAUCCUGUCCAUCUUGCCCUGAAAAACCUCAGCCUUGUUACUUUCAUCAUUCAACUACUCAUUCUCACUCAUAUGCUUCUAAAUGAAGCUAGAGAAAAAUCAUAAUACUAUGUUGAUUGGUACAAAUAAAAAAAAUUAAUCUCAGAGAGACUUUCA
Molecule: long non-coding RNA, 2071 nt
Organism: Monodelphis domestica (gray short-tailed opossum)
Lineage: Eukaryota; Metazoa; Chordata; Mammalia; Didelphimorphia; Didelphidae
Source: Ensembl